AAUAGAUACCCAGGUAGUCCACGCCGUAAACGAUGAGUGCUAAGUGUUAGGGGGUUUCCGCCCCUUAGUGCUGCAGCUAACGCAUUAAGCACUCCGCCUGGGGAGUACGGUCGCAAGACUGAAACUCAAAGGAAUUGACGGGGGCCCGCACAAGCGGUGGAGCAUGUGGUUUAAUUCGAAGCAACGCGAAGAACCUUACCAGGUCUUGACAUCCCGGUGACCGCUAUGGAGACAUAGCUUUCCCUUCGGGGACAGCGGUGACAGGUGGUGCAUGGUUGUCGUCAGCUCGUGUCGUGAGAUGUUGGGUUAAGUCCCGCAACGAGCGCAACCCUUGAUCUUAGUUGCCAUCAUUUAGUUGGGCACUCUAAGGUGACUGCCGGUGAUAAACCGGAGGAAGGUGGGGAUGACGUCAAAUCAUCAUGCCCCUUAUGACCUGGGCUACACACGUGCUACAAUGGAUGGUACAAACGGUUGCCAACCCGCGAGGGGGAGCUAAUCCGAUAAAACCGUUCUCAGUUCGGAUUGUAGGCUGCAACUCGCCUA
RNAcentral lists this ribosomal RNA (543 nucleotides) under uncultured bacterium. RNAcentral describes it as "bacterial SSU rRNA". It matches the Rfam family "Bacterial small subunit ribosomal RNA", at positions 777 to 1318 of the family's 1533-position model. The record is from RNAcentral.